Molecule: long non-coding RNA, 5439 nt
Organism: Prionailurus viverrinus (fishing cat)
Lineage: Eukaryota; Metazoa; Chordata; Mammalia; Carnivora; Felidae
Exons: 3
Source: RefSeq, a predicted model, not a curated record
GCCAGCAAGGAAAUGAGGCGGGGAAGGGCAGUGGAGCCCGCAACUUACCGAGCCUCUGGGCCAUAACGUGGGGUUUUACUUCACGUCAAGCGUGAUGGGAAAAUAGUGAUGCGUUUUGAGUAGGAAGGGCAGAUGUGUAUCGUAGAGGCUGGAGGAAAAGUAUGGGCUGGGCCGGUGUGGGAGUGGAGAGAAGAGUGAAAACAGCGAGUGCAGAGGAGCCACUGGACUAGAACAGGCGUGGGGUGACGAUGGCCGCCUGCAGGAGACGGGACAAGGGGGAGGUGAGAGGGAGCCUGCACUGAUCUGGACUAGUAAUUUCUCUGGGGCUCAAUGCAUCCACACUCCUGAGGAGGAAAAUGACUGGUGAUGGGUUCAUAUCCCACUUGCCCCUUCUCUCUGGAUCUAGACAAGGUCUCUUUUCUUUUCGUUGGCAAUUUAUGAGGUUUCUUUCAUUAUUAGUGACCAGUAGGCUUUGGCCCUUUCAGGUAGAUUGGAUAAGAAUUGAUGCAGGGACUGACUCCACACUCUCAGAUGUACCUUUAGCAGACUUGCUUAAUAGAUAAGUAUAUCAUAAAGAAUUGUUUUCCAAUUGCAAUUUCAAAUGGCAAACUUGCACUUCUACUUUUUUAAUGCUAACAUUAAAAAUUGUUAAAAUCUUAUAUAAAAUAUUUGCUUGCUAUUUAUUUCUUUUUAAUGCACAGCUAGUUCUUCAGGUACAUCAAGUAGCUGUCCAAAGUAUUUUCCUUUUCUUCCCUGAAACGCGCAUGCACACACACACACACACACACACACACAGACACUCACACUCACCUUUUUCUCCUACAUUCAUUCUUUGGGCUAAUUUACUAUCUGUAAUUGGGAGCCCAUGUUUAAAAAUAUCCAGUAUAUUGUUUGGUAGAUUUGAACUAAAAUGAUUUUCUUGUUUAUAUGAUUUCUUAAAAAUACAAAAGUAAUACACAUCACCAUGUUUCAUAUUAAUAACUCAGUGCUUCCUGAAGUGGUAAGUGUACUUCUGUAAACUCUUUAAACUUACCCCUUAAUGAGUUUCUUAUUCUAAUGGAUCUGAUUUUGGUAACACAUUAUGCAUCUUGAAUGACAUAUUUAAUACUUAUCCUUUAAGAAGUUAUUGGCAAGAUUGUAACUAUAAGUAUUAAAGGUCUUUCCUCACCUGUUAGAAAAAAAUAAAAGGAUGGGGGAAGAACUGUAUCAAUUAUCAUGAAAAGAGGAGCAGAUAAUGUCCUUUCGCAAGAAACACUCUUAAAAGAUAAUGAACAUGAAAAAUUAAUUAGAUUUCAAGUUGGAAGUAUCUUUCCCUACUUGAUGAAUUUGAUAGUGCUGCUAUUGCUACCUUAAUGCAUAAAAGGAAAAAUGUCAAAAUUAAUAAGAUAGUCAAGAAUAAAGGGAGCGGAAUGGUUAUCUUUGAGGGGGCUGAGUACUCACUAGAAAUAAUAGCUAAUUGGUAUAAAGCUAACUUCGGAAAAGAAUCAGGCAACAUUGUUUUAGACAUCUUUGACUGGCAUGGUUUCUAAAAACACUCUAGUUUGCAGAGAUUUAAAUGCAUUAUAAUGGAAAUUGGAUAUCUUUGGACUGAGAAAUUAGUAUUUGUGUCUGGCUUGUAACUUAUAAACAUGUUGUUGAAAGAUUUUUAUUUCUUGAGAGGAAAUGAGCCAGACAUUUAGGAUUCUCAUGCCUUUCACAUUCCAAUUUGUUCUUUCAUAAAAUUAAAUAUUUUUUUUGAGUUCAAAAAAGAUUUUUCCAGGGCAGAUGUGUGAAGAGAAUGAAAUGAGAGUUUUUAUUUUAACCUCCCACGUCUCUCUCCUCAGUGAUUAUUUGAAAACCAUUUACCUCUGUGGUGAUAAAUAAAAUCUGGAAACCUGUCAUCUUGUAGCUUAAUUAAAAAGUUUAAGAAAAAUAUUUGAUGCCUUAUUUGGAACAGCCUGGACCAAAUGGCUUCUUGAGGGCCCUUCCAGUUUGCAGAAGACCUUUUUCUAUAAAUACUUUGAUGUCAGGAUUAGAUCCAAAUGAUCAAAGGAAUUUUCCUGGCCUCAAUCACCCUAUACACUGAUACAGAGUUAUCAUCUCUUUUUAUGUGUCAAAAACACAAUGGAUGGCAUACUGGUGAUGUUUCCCAGGCGAUGUUAUGGACAAAGAAGUUUAGUUCAUCUGUGUGAAAAGGUUCUGUGUCAACAUUAGUCUUCAAAAUUUUAUGAAAAAGGGUUUAGAGAACACAGGUUUGUUUGGAUGAACUGAUAAAUUUAAAAGCAAAUAAAAUAUUUGGGUAAGUAGCAAGAAUAAUGAGAUUAGAGACCAAUUUUCUUCUGAAUUCAGAGGAAACAUUCUCUUGAAUAAUCUGAAACAUCAUAAGCCAGACUGUCAUUAACAAACAAAACAAAUCUCAAAGAAGAAUUCAAUUCAGGAGAUCCAUGAGACCAAUAAGUGCCUUCUUUGAGACUUCCAAGUCUUCUGGCUGGUGAGAUCUAUCCUCAAAUGUCAGUCAUGAUGGUGGAGGCCACAUUUGUUCUUAGAUUAUUGCCAUGAUCUUUGGAAUCUGUGACGUAUGUGCUGGGGAGGAGUUUUGCCUGGAUUUUGUUUAUAUUUUAGACUAGCUUGAGUCUAUUUUCUGAUUAUGGCUUAUUAUUAUUUUUUAAAUAAAAUAAUGCAGGCUUAUAUUAAUUUUAUGAAACGAAUAGGAAGCUCUGUAAAGAGCCUCGUAACAACACGGCUUAGAGAACAUCGCUUUUGUUCUCUCGUGCAACACAGCCAACGUGAGUGUUUCUGGUUGUUGAAUAGCUCUGCUCCACACACUUUCAGACAUUUCACACUUUCUGACACACCUUCCAUCUACAAUGCCUGCUUUCUAGGUUGGCUGUGGUCACCGGACAGAAAGGAGAAGGAAAGAAUUCAAAGAUCACGCCUGAUGGAAGCUGAACAUUACUUCUGUUCAUAUUUUAUUGGAGAGAACUUAGUCACAUAGUCACGCGGAGCUACAAGAGAGUUGGAAAACAUGGCUUAGCCGUGGUGCAAACAGGAAGCAAGAAAACACUUUGGUAGGCCGCUAGGAGCUCCUCACAUUGCUUGUCAAGAAACACAGUUGAGUCAAGAACAAAGGAGAAAGGAAGAAUCACCCUAAAUUCUACUACCUAAAAUAGUUUGGUGAAUAUCAUUCUGCACAUGCAACCAUUCUCUCUAUAAAAUACUACGUUUAAUUUUAUUUAAUUUAUUCAAAUUUUAGAAGAAAACACAUGCUGAGGUGAAACUUAAGAAAUUACCAGCAUUUGUUAACCCAGAAGAAAUUGUAAGUUUUAUGUCAUCCUGCUAUUGGCAUGAUUUAAAAAAAAAUUUUAUUUCAAAUUUAAAUAGUGUUUGAUAGGCAAUCUGUUAGGGGAGAUGAGGUGAUAAGGGCUCCUCUGUUUCUUUUCACUCCGCCUUCCCUCCCUCUGUCUCCCGGUUUUUGUUUCAAAUUAUUUCUCUUUGUCAGCACUGUGGCAUUACAUUUUGUUCUGCGGACAUAAUUCCCUCUGUUAAUCAUUAUGAGUUCUCUAUUUAAAUGGAAGCAAUGCUCAGCACUGGUUCUUUUACCAUGACUUUUCCAUUACUGAGUUUGCUUUUUAAUUUAUCACUUGGUUGGUUGGAUUUUAUUGUCAUGUAGUUUUAAAAUUUUUAUUUACUUUAUUUUUUAGCAAAGGGAUUAUAAAUUCCCGAUCCUCAGAGCUCUUUUAUAUUUGAGAAUGCCGCCUUUAUACUCGAACAGCUUGGCUGGGUGUACUAGCCUUGGUCACACGUGCUGCUCCGUAAAAUGUUACGGACAUUGUUCUGUUGACUGCUGGGAUUAAGUAUUGCCUCGAAAAAGCAUGAAGGCCAGCCUUAUUUUUCCCGCCGUGGAAAACUUCUCCUGUGGAAAAAGUUAUUAAUAUAGUGCAUAUAUAAAAUACCAUAGCUGUGACAGAAACUGUGUGCUCAGCAAAACUUCACGUAUCUCCUGAUCUCCUUCCCAGGACCAGUUUGCUUUCCUUCUCUCGGAAGAACUUUGAUACUGGAGCAUUGAUUUCUACACAUUUCUUGCAGUCUGAGGCCGUAGGCGUGGGGCUGGUGGAGAACUCUUGUAGGACUAAACCUGAAGAGCACACCUAUUCUGGAAUAAGGUUCUCCCUGACUUUGCUGAGUCCUCUGGUGGUAGCGGCUUCUGCUGAUGCCUACUUUCCAUAAGGAAGCUUCUCCCCACCCUGGGGGACACCAGCAGGACUGUUCCACAUGUUGCCCACUUACCUUUCUUCAGAAGUACGUGGAGGUAUGAAUGACAUUAAGAGUCCAUUAUCUAAUUUCUCAGGUAAGGCACCACAAACAAUGCUUUAAUGAUCAAGCGGUGCUCUGAAAUCUCACCAUGAAUUUUCAUCAUAACUGCAAGCAAAUGGCUCUGACCCAUAAUUUUGAAUUCUCUCUUUGGUUUGCAAACAAUUUCCUCCAGAGUGCAUUGCUUUCUACUUCACAGCGAUCUUGGAUAUAAACAUGGAUCUAAGAAAAAUGAAGCAAAACAAAAGACCCUCUUUGAAAUGUAUAUCUCGUGUAGCAUUGAAGACAGCUGCUUACCCUGUUUCAACCCUGCAGAUCCUGGAGGAAAUGGCAGAAUGGCCACCAUCGAAAAAUAACAAACACUGAAAAGUUUUGACAAGUUGACUAUAAUUACUGCAGCUGCUCGCUUCAUUUUUAAAAACUGCUGUUACGUAGCAAUUAGGAAAUACCUGUUUUAGGAGUUACAGCCUUUGUGUAGCUGCUCUUUCUUUUUGUCUCCUCCAUUCCAGGGAGAAGAGAUUGUGUCUAAUAAAUCCCAUCAUCAUCUCUGCCACUUGGAACUCAUGGUCAUGCCAUUAGUGUCAACAGAGGACCUGGACCAAAAUAAUCAUGACCCAUACCUUGCUCAUCCUCAAACUCCUUAACAUUGGCUGUUUCUCAGGAGGAGCUGGGAAGACCAGAAGUGCUGUGUCAAGCAAAACCAGUUUUCAGCACCUGUUUCAGAUGCAUAUUCAGGGCCUCUGACUAGGUGCGUCUAGAUGGCAGGCAUGUGACAUGUGGACCGUUGUCAUCGCAAGUGGGCUACUCGACAGUUUCUGUGUGCCCUUCUGCCAGCUUGGCCCAGGGCCAGCCUCAGAGUCCGGGAAGCUGCUGCCAGUCCCUCAGUAUCAGCACAUGAGCUGAAACUGAUAUGUCAUCCUUGAUAAGUGUAAGUGACCAGUUUUUAAAAUUAGAAUGGAUGAAACAUUAAAGCCCCCUUUCCUUCUUAAUUCUGAAAACAUUUCAGAAUCUUGGAUUGUCAGGUAUUCCUCAAUAUGACAACUUUUUUUAAAGUUUAUUUGUUUUUGAGAGAGAGAGAGAGAGAGAGAGAGAGACAGAGAGAGAGAGAGAGAGAAAAUGAAUAUGAGUAGGGGAGGGGCAGAGAGAAAA